AAAAAGGAAAUGACAUCAUCGAGAGGAUCUGUGGACCCUCAUUACUGUGUCGAGAACAUGGAGGAACCUUGGAGCUCCAGACGGCCUGAUCACUCUGGCUGAUAAGCCACCGCAGAUUGCAGCUGCUAGCAGUAGCUCUGGACUGAUUUGCUGCUUGGUUAAGGGGCAAAGAAAAACACCAGCCCCGGCCUGCAAGAAAUAAACAGAGGCUUGUUGCGGCUGCGUUAUCACUCCCUGUCUGUUUGGAGCACAACCAAAAGCUACAAAUCUGCAGAGCUGCCCAGUGGCGGGCGAGCAUGAAAUAACUCAUCAGGUUACGAGUCAUUUUCAAGGGGUGACUGAGUAAAGGUGGCUGUAUUAAGUGUGAAAGGAAUCAGGGCCAAGAGCGCAAUCACUCUCUGAUUGGACUGAUCUGAUUUUUCCUCCGCAAGUGGGG
Long non-coding RNA from Cyprinus carpio carpio, 436 nucleotides. NCBI's taxonomy places the organism in Eukaryota, Metazoa, Chordata, Actinopteri, Cypriniformes, Cyprinidae. The record is from Ensembl.